Molecule: ribosomal RNA, 442 nt
Filed under: uncultured bacterium
Lineage: Bacteria
Description: partial 16S ribosomal RNA
Rfam family: Bacterial small subunit ribosomal RNA
Source: RNAcentral
CCUACGGGAGGCAGCAGUGGGGAAUAUUGGGCAAUGGGCGAAAGCCUGCCCCAGCAACGCCGCGUGAAGGAAGAAGGCUUUCGGGUUGUAAACUUCUUUUGACAGGGAAGAGCAGAAGACGGUACCUGUCGAAUAAGCCACGGCUAACUACGUGCCAGCAGCCGCGGUCAUACGUAGGUGGCAAGCGUUGUCCGGAUUUACGGGGUGUAAAGGGCGUGUAGCCGGGCUGACAAGUCAGAUGUGAAAUCCGGGGGCGCAACCCCCGACCUGCAUUUGAAACUGCUGGUCUUGAGUAUCGGAGAGGCAGGCGGAAGUCCUAGUGUAGCGGUGAAAUGCGUAGAUAUUAGGAGGAACACCAGUGGCGAAGGCGGUCUGCUGGACGACAACUGACGGUGAGGCGCGAAAGCGUGGGGAGCAAACAGGAUUAGAGACCCGUGUAGUC